Molecule: ribosomal RNA, 508 nt
Filed under: uncultured bacterium
Lineage: Bacteria
Description: partial 16S ribosomal RNA
Rfam family: Bacterial small subunit ribosomal RNA
Source: RNAcentral
UCCUCCCUCUUUCCUCGUGCCUAAUACAUGCAAGUCGAACGCUUCUUUCCUCCCGAGUGCUUGCACUCAAUUGGAAAGAGGAGUGGCGGACGGGUGAGUAACACGUGGGUAACCUACCCAUCAGAGGGGGAUAACACUUGGAAACAGGUGCUAAUACCGCAUAACAGUUUAUGCCGCAUGGCAUAAGAGUGAAAGGCGCUUUCGGGUGUCGCUGAUGGAUGGACCCGCGGUGCAUUAGCUAGUUGGUGAGGUCACGGCUCACCAAGGCCACGAUGCAUAGCCGACCUGAGAGGGUGAUCGGCCACACUGGGACUGAGACACGGCCCAGACUCCUACGGGAGGCAGCAGUAGGGAAUCUUCGGCAAUGGACGAAAGUCUGACCGAGCAACGCCGCGUGAGUGAAGAAGGUUUUCGGAUCGUAAAACUCUGUUGUUAGAGAAGAACAAGGACGUUAGUAACUGAACGUCCCCUGACGGUAUCUAACCAGAAAGCCACGGCUAACUACGUG